UACGUAGGAUGCGAGCGUUGUCCGGAAUUAUUGGGCGUAAAGAGAACGUAGGUGGUUUCUUAAGUUCGAUCUUAAAGACCGGGGCUCAACCCCGGGAAUGGAUUGAAAACUGGGAGACUAGAGGAUGUUAGAGGACGGUGGAAUUCCCGAGUGUAGCUGGUGAAAUGCGUAGAUAUUGGGAGGAACACCAGUGGCGGAAAGCG
RNAcentral lists this ribosomal RNA (203 nucleotides) under uncultured bacterium. RNAcentral's name for it is "partial 16S ribosomal RNA". It matches the Rfam family "Bacterial small subunit ribosomal RNA", at positions 524 to 723 of the family's 1533-position model. The record is from RNAcentral.